This 116-nucleotide ribosomal RNA is filed under the name Ephemera sp. CH-2014. Its description in RNAcentral is "partial 16S ribosomal RNA". The record is from RNAcentral. Lineage: Eukaryota; Metazoa; Arthropoda; Insecta; Ephemeroptera; Ephemeridae.
AAGAAUUUAAAGGUCGAACAGACCUAACAUUUGAACAUCUACACCCAAAUAUUUUCUUAGUCCAACAUCGAGGUCGCAAACCCUUUUGUCGAUAAGAACUCUCAAAAAGGAUUACG